UAGCUAGCAUAGCAAAGCAACAUCAAGUCCAAAACAGGCUGGCAGUAGCGGUUCAAACAGGCUGGCAUAAAGCAAGCGUGUUUUACAAAGUAGAACAACAAAAAUGAAAACUUGGCACAAAGUGAAACAUCUGAAGCUGAGCAUUCAUAGUAGAAAACAAACCCAAUUUUAAGCUUUACUAACACAAUAAAAAAUGAUCUCAACCAAAAACAACAUCCACACAAACAAAACAAAAUUCUAUCUUUCAAAUAAACCAACUCUAGUUUCAAAUUUUAGCUUCCAAUCUAAUAAUAUAAAGUUCGAAAAGCAGCAAACAUGAAGAUAAUGAGAAGAUACAUGCCUUUUCAGAUACCGGUGAAGAGAGAGACGGUCGUGCGCGGUGGAAGUUGGAACGACAGUGAUGCCUUCUGGUUUUUCUUAUUCCCUUUCUUUUUAUGUGUUUUUUAUAUCAGUAUUAAUCUCAUAUCCCUCCUUCUCUUUUUGAAAUUUGAUAAGGUGUAUUUAUAGUGUUUUUUUUUUAUCUAUUUAGUUGCUUUCUUGCUUGCCUUUGUCUUUCUCCAUCAAUUUCUUGUUUGAUGUUUAAUUUAUUUUGCUCAUCAUCUGUGUUUUUUUCAACACAUCUGAUGCAUUCAUGGUUUUAGCCUAUGUUUGUUUUCAUCUUUUCUUUUGUUGAGCUUUUAUUUGUAGCUGUAAUUUGUUCUUUAGUUUUUUUUUAACUCAAAAGUUUGUCUAUUUGGUAUCUUUAAUGUGUACAAUGGCUGAUUUAUAAAAAUUAUCUUUUUAUUUCUCUAAUUAGUUACAACCGGUACAAAUGUAUCAAUGAGCAUGGAUUGUGCAUCAAUGGCAGCCAGCAUCAACAUAGCAGGGUUUGGCAGUGAGCAAAGGCAACAAUAGAGAACAAAAACACAAGCAAAACUAGAAACAGCUGGGUUCAUUUGAUUUAGUUUGAAUUAAUUUUUAUUUUAAUUUAAAAUUGUAAUUUGAUUUGGUAUUGUAAAUUGAUGAGCCUAUUUAUUGUAAUUAUUUUAUUUCCUUUUUUUAAUAUAUAUUUUCCUUUUUGAUUUAUUUUUUAAAAAAUGGAUAAAACCGGGGUACUACAGCUGCCCCUAUUUAAUUAUAUUUUACUUGAAAAAU
RNAcentral lists this long non-coding RNA (1134 nucleotides) under Cicer arietinum (chickpea). RNAcentral's name for it is "long non-coding RNA (CARI_LNC002024)". Lineage: Eukaryota; Viridiplantae; Streptophyta; Magnoliopsida; Fabales; Fabaceae. The record is from RNAcentral.